Nymphaea colorata (pocket water lily) is the source of this 576-nucleotide long non-coding RNA. RefSeq lists it as uncharacterized. The transcript has 3 exons. Lineage: Eukaryota; Viridiplantae; Streptophyta; Magnoliopsida; Nymphaeales; Nymphaeaceae. The record is from RefSeq and is a predicted model, not a curated record.
CCAAGUGAUCUUAGAGAAAAAAAAGAGAUCGCCCCCUUUCGGGCUAAUUUAGAAUCUAGCCAUGUCUGGGUAAAGAGUUGUAACCUCCUUCUGUCCAAAGGAAGGAGUUAGAAGUUCAAUAAGAUGUGAAAAUCUUUGUGAACAGAUCUUGUUUGUUCGACACCCUGAUUCAUGAUGAUUCUAUGGUCAUACGCUCGACGUGGAGGAAGAUCCUUCGGUUCCUCAAAGAGAUCUGAAAACUGUUCAAGCACGUGUUGAACCUUGGCUGGCACACUUCGACAAUCAAAAUAUUCUUCUACCUUGAAGAGCCAAUCCUUGGCAUCUACCCCUAUAAAAUGUGGAAAAUCAAUCUUAACGGCUGGGGUUCUUCUGCUUGGCUCAGUUUGGUUGCGUCUGCCUCUAAAGGGUCCUCCAUCAACAAACACAAUAACACAAUAUCCUCAUCUUCCUCACUUUCAUCCUUGCCCUGGUUCUUACUAAAUCGCCGGUUUUGGGGUGCUUGUAGCUGGCUGCUGGAGCCGAACCUAAAAUGGAACUCAGGCCCUUGUUGUUCAGGUUGGCUGGUGCCAUGAUGUC